Molecule: unclassified non-coding RNA, 148 nt
Filed under: uncultured fungus
Lineage: Eukaryota; Fungi
Description: sequence contains ITS2
Source: RNAcentral
UCACCCCUCAAGCCCGGCUUGUUGUUGGGGCCCCGCCUACCCCCGCGUAGGCGCGCCCUCGAAUGCAUCGGCGCGGCCACCGGCCACCCCAGACACCGCGUUGUCAGAAGGUGGACGGCGAGUCGCCGCCUCGAAAACGUACCGCAAA